Armigeres subalbatus is the source of this 1815-nucleotide long non-coding RNA. RefSeq lists it as uncharacterized. The record is from RefSeq and is a predicted model, not a curated record. The transcript has 5 exons. Lineage: Eukaryota; Metazoa; Arthropoda; Insecta; Diptera; Culicidae.
UGCAUAACUGACAAAUGAAUUUCUUUUUGUUUUUCUCGACCUUCACUUACGUAAAUAAAAUAUCGAAAUUCAUAAAUAAUGCCUUUAUUUUUUCAUGUCGGCCGACCACGAUUUUACCAAAAUUUUGUAUAUUCGCAAUUAUUUAACUAAAUAUAGACAAUACAAUUUAUGGAGUUCCACGAUUUGGACAAUCUUUCGAUUACGGAUACAGAUCACACCAGCAUGACAAUAGUCCGAGGCUGGAGGCCACGUCAUCUGAUGAUGUGCAGGAUCAAUGUUUUUCCGACACCAAGUUAUCCCACCAACACCAGCGUACCGUUUAUGCUGCUUAAAAACGAUACCACAGUUUCGGUAUCAUCGACAAUGCAGUCUUUAUUAUCUAUUUCAGUUGCAGCAUAAUUAUACACCCGAAUCGCUUUGAUUGUAACAGUUGCGUGAGCCCGUACGGUGACUGCCUGUUUCCAGAUUCCCGGAUGCAAAGUUAUCUGUAAACAAACAGGAACAUCCCUGUUUCGUCAUGAACCCCAUUCAAUCCGGUCCAUAAAGUAUCACUCAAGGGAAUUCUUAUUCUGAUGGACUCGACGGAUAGCAAGGGAACAAAACAUUCCUGCGAUCAAGAUCGGAAUCGUCUACAAACUCAAUCCACAAUGAACGACAAAGGACAAUCUUCAACGGAGAUACUAAAUCCGACAAUAGCUGGAACUUGGAAAGGAAUUCGGACCGAAAUAAAUUAAUAUGUCGAACUUCUCGCACCCCAUCAACUGCUUCAAAAAGAUCGGACUGGUAAUAUUAAUUGGAAUUGCUGCUUUAGAUUCGCUGAACAUAGUUACUAUUCGUAAGUCAUUACGCCCUCCUUAGCCGUGCGGUAAGACGCGCGGCUACAAAGCAAGACCAUGCUGAGGGUGGCUGGGUCCGAUUCCCGGUGCCGGUCUAGGAAAUUUUCGGAUUGGAAAUUGUCUCGACUUCCCUGGGCAUAAAAGUAUCAUCGUGUUAGCCUCAUGAUAUACGAAUGCAAAAAUGGUAACCUGGCUUAGAAACCUCGCAGUUAAUAACUGUGGAAGUGCUUAAUGAACACUAAGCUGCGAGGCGGCUCUGUCCCAGUGUGGGGAUGUAAUGCCAAUUAGAAGAAGAAGAAGAAGAAGUCAUUACGCUCGCCAUUACGUUACCUCUGUCAUCUGAUGAUACCGAUUCAACUAUAACAACAACCGCGGUACAAUCCCUCCUGCUUCAAACUGCAGGCAGCAUUUCUGAAGGAAGUCUCACAGGAAAAGCCGGCGCAAAAUAUCAUGCGAUGAAUGCCAAAUUCAAGCGCGUAGCUACUUACUACUCAUCAGGGAACGUAUGAGAAGAGUAAUGCUGAAAAGAGAUCUCACGUCAUCCAAUCUUCGAGGAACAAGCAAAGCCUGCCUUACUGGACUACCGUUCAAGGCUAAAAUACACGGUAUAUAUUGGAUCACAUCCGUAAAAUCAGUACCAGAUGAUAUGUGAUGCGGCUCUAAACAAAAAUAGUCAACAUGUGCUACCACCACGACAGGAUGUCUUUGGUUGCCAUCUCAGUGCUAAUGGCGUAAGGAAGCCGAUCCACCACGACAACAUAUCCGAGGGGAGAAAGUGUAGGAAUCUUUUUGAUGUAAGAACUUUACUUUGGGUGUCGGUCGAUACUGCAUAAUUUUAAAUAGCUUGCUUAUAAUAAAAUAUAUAAAAUUAUAGAUUUCGUGAAUAAUGCUACACCGGAGUUCGUGCAACGUAACACUGUGGCAGACAUUCGCCCUGAGAAAUGUACAAAUGGAUAUUAAAAUAAAAUACCUACCUAUA